Molecule: transfer RNA, 57 nt
Filed under: Loxodonta africana (African savanna elephant)
Lineage: Eukaryota; Metazoa; Chordata; Mammalia; Proboscidea; Elephantidae
Rfam family: tRNA
About the family: Transfer RNA (tRNA) molecules are approximately 80 nucleotides in length. Their secondary structure includes four short double-helical elements and three loops (D, anti-codon, and T loops). Further hydrogen bonds mediate the characteristic L-shaped molecular structure. tRNAs have two regions of fundamental functional importance: the anti-codon, which is responsible for specific mRNA codon recognition, and the 3' end, to which the tRNAs corresponding amino acid is attached (by aminoacyl-tRNA synthetases). tRNAs cope with the degeneracy of the genetic code in two manners: having more than one tRNA (with a specific anti-codon) for a particular amino acid; and 'wobble' base-pairing, i.e. permitting non-standard base-pairing at the 3rd anti-codon position.
Source: Rfam by way of RNAcentral
UGGCAUAAUGGUUAAGUGCUUGGCUGCCAACCAAAAGGUUGGUGGUUAGAACCCACC